CUCCUCCCAUCAGUCUGACCAGCUCAGCAUCUCAUUUCCACCACUAAUAAGGCUGAACAGCAGUGUAGAGACGGAGAAUAGUCAGUAAUGAGCUCUGAAAGACACUGCAGGGAACGCUGAAUGAGAAGAGCAGUGAAAGGGUUUAGAUGAACAGAAGAAAGGAUGAGAGAGGACAGAAAGAAUAAGAACCAUCUGCAGACGUCAGGUGAACAGGUCUUCUCCUUUAUAAGCAGCUCAGAUGGAGGACGCUGGAUGACUGACAGUCUUUACUGCAGAUGAUCUGCUGUGGAGGUCAUUCACAGAUUCAGCUCCGUCACUCAGUCAGAGUCACUAAGACUGUAAAGUGAAGCAUGUUUACUGGACUCUGGACUCUGUACAGCCCCUCAGGUUUGAUGUUAUUGACCUGUGGGAUCUUGUUACCAUUCAGAUGGGAUGUUUUAGACGGUGCAUGACAGUCUCAGCAUUUUGAUGCAUGUAAGACGGCUUUAGGUUCUGCAUUGAUGAUUGGGCUGAAAAGAUGAAGAGCAGAAA
Long non-coding RNA from Pygocentrus nattereri (red-bellied piranha), 531 nucleotides. RefSeq lists it as uncharacterized. The record is from RefSeq and is a predicted model, not a curated record. The transcript has 3 exons. Lineage: Eukaryota; Metazoa; Chordata; Actinopteri; Characiformes; Serrasalmidae.